CUGGUAGUGGCUGUGUCUGUGCAGAAAUGAAGCCAGAGUCCCUGCAGUAGCGAUUGGAUGAAGGAGCCGAAGUAGGUCCCACCAAUACAUGCACUCGACCAAUCGUGACUGUGGAGAGAUGCGAUCCUUAUCCUUGAGUGCUCCCUCCGCUGUUGGUUGGCAUUCAUCUGUUGGCUCAGCGCCCGGCGCUUCGGUUGUUAGUGUGCGGCGUGGACAACAUCAGCCUGACCUGCCAUGACACUGCAGUAAUACUGUCUCAACAGGAAAUAGCAUAAGGGGACUUUUAACGCUUAUGUUGUUGUUGAGCCUGAAUCAUUAUGAAAGCUCGACUUGAAGCUCACAUACUCUGCAUACUGAACCAAGCCGGGACAACUUGUAUGCAUUCUCCCACGUAAUGCAAUUCCUCAGAGGAGGUAACUGCCUGCGAACGACGCAGUGAAAGCCUACAAGGACAUAAACACAAUCCAGCGACAGCGAAUGUCAGCGGUCAACAAUUUAUGAGGUCGCGCCAAAACAAAGGACACCGCAGAAUGAAAAUGUUACUUGAGGUGAACUGUUAUUAUUCCUUCCAGUCAUUCAGGGCUGAAAACAGACAUAAGGAUCAUUUAUGUGCAUUGAAAUGUACAAAC
This is a non-coding RNA of Paralichthys olivaceus (Japanese flounder), 629 nucleotides long. Lineage: Eukaryota; Metazoa; Chordata; Actinopteri; Pleuronectiformes; Paralichthyidae. The record is from RefSeq and is a predicted model, not a curated record.